This 701-nucleotide small RNA is filed under the name Pan troglodytes (chimpanzee). Its description in RNAcentral is "retained intron". The record is from RNAcentral. Lineage: Eukaryota; Metazoa; Chordata; Mammalia; Primates; Hominidae.
CUGGGCACUGGUGCUUGCCUCAAGGAGCACCCCCUCUGCAGGAAGACAGACGUGAGGGCUGGGAGGGUGCGGAUGCACCAACGGCUGCAGGACCUCAAGCCAGAGGGGAUCAGCUCUUCACAGGGCACUGGGCCAGGCUUCCCAGCACCCAGGGACCCUGAGCUAGCCUUAUAAUUAAAGAUUUACACACAGCUGGAAGAAAUCAUAGAGAAGCCGGGCGUGGUGGCUCAUGCCUAUAAUCCCAGCACUUUGGGAGGCUGAGGCGGGCAGAUCACUUGAGAUCAGGAGUUCAAGACCAGCCUGGUGCCUUGGCAUCUCCCAAUGGGGUGGCUUUGCUCUGGGCUCCUGUUCCCUGUGAGCUGCCUGGUCCUGCUGCAGGUGGCAAGCUCUGGGAACAUGAAGGUCCUGCAGGAGCCCACCUGCGUCUCUGACUACAUGAGCAUCUCUACUUGCGAGUGGAAGAUGAAUGGUCCCACCAAUUGCAGCACCGAGCUCCGCCUGUUGUACCAGCUGGUUUUUCUGCUCUCCGAAGCCCACACGUGUGUCCCCGAGAACAACGGAGGCGCGGGGUGCGUGUGCCACCUGCUCAUGGAUGACGUGGUCAGUGCGGACAAUUAUACACUGGACCUGUGGGCUGGGCAGCAGCUGCUGUGGAAGGGCUCCUUCAAGCCCAGCGAGCAUGGUGAGCAGGGCGGAGUGCG